This is a long non-coding RNA of Lycium ferocissimum, 1342 nucleotides long. RefSeq lists it as uncharacterized. The transcript is spliced from 2 exons. Lineage: Eukaryota; Viridiplantae; Streptophyta; Magnoliopsida; Solanales; Solanaceae. The record is from RefSeq and is a predicted model, not a curated record.
AUUCCCAAAAUAAACACAAUCUCAAUCCGAAAUCCCGACUAAUACCCGAGGCUAUCUGUUGACAAACCACAUACACAGACACACAUAAAACCCGCUACGAACGCACUCGUGGCCUCGGAAUUCCCAACGGAGGUCUCGUUGACCGAGUCAACCCCCGAUGCCUCAAUUCCAACUUUCCAACCCAAGUCCCAAAAUGCACCCGAGUGCAUUGGGAACCGAACCAGAUAUGCACACAAGUUCUAAAUGACCAUCCGGACCUCUCGGAAUCGAUGGAUUUCCGAAAAAGGUCCGUUUACCUAAAAGUCAACUUUGAGUCAGCUCUUUUUGCUUAAAGCGAAUUUUUCCCAAAAAGUCACCAAAAUCAACCCCGAGCACCUCGGGAAGCGUGUCAAUUGUCCCCUGGGGUCAAAAGUGAGCUAACCAAGCUCGGGGAAGGGUCAAAAGUGCCGAAAAUACUAUAACGACCAAGCGGGUCGUUACAUAGUUCCACAAAGACGCUUGGGUCCUAAGGUCAAUUUUGUAGCACGUAGUAUGAUUUUCUAGAGGAUUCCAAUUUCUGUUUUCUGCUUGUAGGGAGGUUUUGCAUUGUCAGAGUCCAACAUGGCCAGCGUCAGGUGUACCCUGUAUAGUUAAGUCAGCUUGGUCCAUGGCUCCAUGCUAUAGCAAUGUGAACAUUUAAUGAAAUUUCGGGAACCGGAAGUAGUGUGAAACCAGCUCAGAUAUUGUUCCAAAAACACAAUUACCGUGUGGCAAACUUCUCAAACAAAACAUCCUAGUUUGCACAGUGUACCCUGAUUUUAGCCUGGUUCCAUUCAACUAUUAUUGUUCUUUGACCAAGUGUUACCCUACAUAACAAAACUUACUAUGUUCAGGUCUAUUGUUCCUUUUCUGUGUAAUUCCCAGUAAAACAAACUUAUUUCUAGUCUUAGGUGAAAUGCCAGAUAAUAUUGGCAUGGCACCUGAUAGGCUGAGACAACUAUUACCCGAAUGAGUUUUAGUUUUCAAUUUUUGUGCUGGACCCUAUGGGCCCUUAAAUUUCACAAGAGACUUAUCACAUAAGUUCUUAAUACUAUUUUUACUCUCCUUUAUCCAAAUUUUUUUGAAGCUAUCUUUACUAUCAUCUAGUCAGAUUCUUAUUUUGAACUCAAGAAGCUCAAUCGAUUACAAAACCGUUAGGUUGAGGGGCAACGAAUUUCCUGAGGGAAGGAGAUGGAGAAGGAAACAAACAAAAUCUUCAACUUUGUGUUGCAUUUUUAAUUGACAUAAUACAUAAACAGGCACUCAAACUUGGCCUUAGCUGGCAAGUAAGCACUCCAACUUUGGGAGUGCACAUAUGAACACC